AUUGAAGGCUGGCAGCACCGGCCUUCAACACAUGCAAGUCGAGCUUAUGAAGGCAGCUUGCCUUGGAUUCAGCGGCGGACGCCUGAGUAAUGCCUAGGAAUCUGCCUGGUAGUGGGCCAUAACGUCCGGAAACGGGGGCUAAUACCGCAUACGUCCUGAGGGAGAAAGUCGGGGAUCUUCGGACCUCACGCUAUCAGAUGAGCCUAGGUCGGAUUAGCUAGUUGGUGGCCUAAUGGCCUACCAAGGCGACGAUCCGUAACUGGUCUGAGAGGAUGAUCAGUCACACUGGAACUGAGACACGGUCCAGACUCCUACCGGAGGCAGCAGUGGCCAAUAUUGGACAAUGGGCCCAAGCCUGAUCCAGCCAUUGCCGCGUGUGUGAAGAAGGUCUUCGGAUUGUAAAGCACUUUAAGUUGGGAGGAAGGGCAGUAAGUUAAUACCAAGCUGUUUGACGUUACCAACAGAAUAAGCACCGGCUAACUUCGUGCCAGCAGCCGCGGUAAUACGAAGGGUGCAAGCGUUAAUCGGAAUUACUGGGCGUAAAGCGCGCGUAAGUGGUUCAGCAAGCUUGAUGUGAAAUGGCCGGGCUCAACCUGGGAACUGCAUCCAAAAGCUACUGAGCUAGAGUACGGUAGAGGUCCUAGAAUUUCCUGUGUAGCGGUGAAAUGCGUAGAUAUAGGAAGGAACACCAGUGGCGAAGGCGACCACCUGGACUGUACUGACACUGAGGUGCGAAAGCGUGGCCAGCAAACAGGAUUAGAUACCCUGGUAGUCCACGCCGUAAACGAUGUCGACUAGCCGGUUGGGAUCCUUGAGAUCUUAGUGGCGCACGUAACGCGAUAAGUCGACCGCCUGGGGAGUACGGCCGCAAGGUUAAAACUCAAAUGAAUUGACCGGGGCCGGGACAAGCGGUGGAGCAUGUGGUUUAAUUCGAAGCAACGCGAAGAACCUUACCUGGCCUUGACAUGCUGAGAACUUUCCAGAGAUGGAUUGGUGCCUUCGGGAACAGAGACACAGGUGCUGGCAUGGCUGUCGUCAGCUCGUGUCGUGAGAUGUUGGGUUAAGUCCGGUAACGAGCGCAACCCUUGUCCUUAGUUACCAGCACCUCGGGUGGGCACUCUAAGGAGACUGCCGGUGACAAACCGGAGGAAGGUGGGGAUGACGUCAAGUCAUCAUGGCCCUUACGGCCAGGGCUACACACGUGCUACAAUGGUCGGUACAAAGGGUUGCCAAGCCGCGAGUGGGAGCUAAUCCCAUAAAACCGAUCGUAGUCCGGAUCGCAGUCUGCAACUCGACUGCGUGAAGUCGGAAUCGCUAGUAAUCGUGAAUCAGAAUGUCACGGUGAAUACGUGGCCGGGCCUUGUACACACCGCCCGUCACACCAUGGGAGUGGGUUGCUCCAGAAGUAGCUAGUCUAACCGCAAGGGCCACGGUUACCACGGAGUGAUUCAUGACUGGGGUGAAGUCGUAACA
Molecule: ribosomal RNA, 1473 nt
Filed under: Pseudomonas aeruginosa
Lineage: Bacteria; Pseudomonadati; Pseudomonadota; Gammaproteobacteria; Pseudomonadales; Pseudomonadaceae
Description: bacterial SSU rRNA
Rfam family: Bacterial small subunit ribosomal RNA
Source: RNAcentral